UGUAAAUAAGCAUUCUUGUUUUAAUAGGAAUACGUUUCUGUUAAUCCAGAAGCUCCCAUCCUAUUACAUGCCAUGUAAUAUAUCCAUAUUAUAUUUUGACUGUAACAACCAUUUGGUUUCAUCGAGCAGUUAACAUGGCACAAUUCACAUCCGUCGUGCAGAAUUGCAAAACUGUAGAAAAAAAUAAUUGGUAACAUAAGCUAUUAGGCACCACAGAAAAGACAAUUCCAGCUUUUAGUUUAUACGUGCAUUGGAGUAAGGUAUCAUAUUGCUGAUUAUGCUGAAAAAAUAAAAAUGAUGGCCGUGUAAACACGGCGUGAUAGCUCAUACUUUUAAAUAUUGAAAUUUGUCAGCAUAAUCAGCACUAUGAUACCUUACUUCCCAUCACCCCCUGCAUACAUAAAUUAAAGCUGGAUUGCUCUACCCUCACCUGUGAUCAGGGGCCGGUUGUAUAAAAACGUAGUUAGUGCUAACUACUGUAGUUAAAUCCUUAACUGUAAUUACUUAACUGCAUGACUUAACUGCAUUGCGUAACAAAACGUAGUUAGUCGGAUAGUUAACGCUUGCGUGGGGUGGUUAACAUAAAUUAACAUAAAUUAAGGCUGAUGAACGACCGCUGACAAGGCAAUUUGAACUUGAUCGUGGUCUCGUUUAUUCCAAAAUGGCGAACAAAAUAAUUGCAAUUUGUAAAAGGAGCUAGGAGCUUGACCUGC
Paramuricea clavata is the source of this 713-nucleotide non-coding RNA. Lineage: Eukaryota; Metazoa; Cnidaria; Anthozoa; Malacalcyonacea; Plexauridae. The record is from the annotation of a GenBank genome assembly.